UACGUAGGGUGCGAGCGUUGUUCGGAAUUAUUGGGCGUAAAGAGCUUGUAGGCGGUUUGUCGCGUCUGCUGUGAAAUUCCAGGGCUUAACCCUGGGCUUGCAGUGGGUACGGGCAGACUAGAGUGUGGUAGGGGAGACUGGAAUUCCUGGUGUAGCGGUGAAAUGCGCAGAUAUCAGGAGGAACACCGAUGGCGAAGGCAGGUCUCUGGGCCGCAACUGACGCUGAGGAGCGAAAGCAUGGGGAGCGAACAGG
This 253-nucleotide ribosomal RNA is filed under the name uncultured bacterium. Its description in RNAcentral is "partial 16S ribosomal RNA". It matches the Rfam family "Bacterial small subunit ribosomal RNA", at positions 524 to 776 of the family's 1533-position model. The record is from RNAcentral.